RNAcentral lists this ribosomal RNA (460 nucleotides) under uncultured bacterium. Its description in RNAcentral is "partial 16S ribosomal RNA". It matches the Rfam family "Bacterial small subunit ribosomal RNA", at positions 338 to 795 of the family's 1533-position model. The record is from RNAcentral.
CCUACGGGAGGCAGCAGUGAGGAAUAUUGGUCAAUGGGCGCAAGCCUGAACCAGCAAAGUCGCGUGAAGGAUGAAGGCUCUAUGGAUCGUAAACUUCUUUUAUAUGGGAAUAAAGUGUAGGAUGUCUCCUGCUUUAGAUGUACCUUAUGAAUAAGGAUCGGCUAACUCCGUGCCAGCAGCCGCGGUAAUACGGAGGAUCCGAGCGUUAUCCGGAUUUAUUGGGUUUAAAGGGUGCGUAGGCGGGCUGUUAAGUCAGAGGUGAAAGUCUGUGGCUCAACCCUAGAAUUGCAGUUGAAACUGGGGGUCUUGAGUACGGUAGAGGCAGGCGGAAUGCGUGGUGUAGCGGUGAAAUGCGUAGAUAUAACGAAGAACCCCGAUGGCGAAGGCAGCUUACUGGACUGUAACUGACGCUGAGGCACGAAAGCGUGGGGAUCAAACAGGAUUAGAUACCCUGGUAGUC